RNAcentral lists this ribosomal RNA (497 nucleotides) under uncultured bacterium. RNAcentral describes it as "partial 16S ribosomal RNA". It matches the Rfam family "Bacterial small subunit ribosomal RNA", at positions 28 to 507 of the family's 1533-position model. The record is from RNAcentral.
GAUGAACGCUGGCGGCGUGCCUAAUACAUGCAAGUCGAGCGAACAGACGAGGAGCUUGCUCCUCUGAUGUUAGCGGCGGACGGGUGAGUAACACGUGGAUAACCUACCUAUAAGACUGGGAUAACUUCGGGAAACCGGAGCUAAUACCGGAUAACAUGUUGAACCGCAUGGUUCAACAGUGAAAGACGGUCUUGCUGUCACUUAUAGAUGGAUCCGCGCCGCAUUAGCUAGUUGGUAAGGUAACGGCUUACCAAGGCAACGAUGCGUAGCCGACCUGAGAGGGGGAUCGGCCACACGGGAACUGAGACACGGUCCAGACUCCUACGGGAGGCAGCAGUAGGGAAUCUUCCGCAAUGGGCGAAAGCCUGACGGAGCAACGCCGCGUGAGUGAAGAAGGUCUUCGGAUCGUAAAACUCUGUUAUUAGGGAAGAACAAAUGUGUAAGUAACUAUGCACGUCUUGACGGUACCUAAUCAGAAAGCCACGGCUAACUACGUG